AUGGUGCCAAAGAUGAAGAAGGAAGCUUCCGUCCCUCCUAAAGCCAAGGCCAAAGCAAAGGCUUUGAAGGCCAAGAAGGCAGUGCUGAAAGGUGUCCACAGCCACAUACACACACACAUAAAGAAAAUCUGCACGACCCCCGCCCACCAAGACACUGUGACUUCAGAGGCAGCCCAAAUAUCCUCGAAAGAGCACCCCCAGGAGAAACAAGCUUGGCCACUAUGUCAUCAUCAAGUUUCUGCUGACCACUGAGUCUCCCAUGAAGAAGACAGAAGACAACAGCACACCUGUGUUCAUUGUGGAUGUUAAAGCCAACAAGCACCAGAUCAAACAGGCUGUGAAAAAGCUCUGUGACAUUGAUGUGGCCAAGGUCAACACCCUGGUUAGGACUGAUAGAGAGAAGAAGGCACAUAUUCUUCUGGGUCCUGAUUAUGAUGCUUUGGAUGUUGCCAACAAAAUUGGGAUCAUCUAA
Molecule: long non-coding RNA, 472 nt
Filed under: Homo sapiens (human)
Lineage: Eukaryota; Metazoa; Chordata; Mammalia; Primates; Hominidae
Description: non-protein coding lnc-MKKS-5:1
Source: RNAcentral